UAGGGCCUACGGGGGGCAGCAGUGAGGAAUAUUGGUCAAUGGGCGCGAGCCUGAACCAGCCAAGUCGCGUGAGGGAUGACGGUCCUACGGAUUGUAAACCUCUUUUGCCGGGGAGCAAGCGUGCGUUCGUGAACGCACGUCGAGAGUACCCGGAGAAAAAGCAUCGGCUAACUCCGUGCCAGCAGCCGCGGUAAUACGGAGGAUGCGAGCGUUAUCCGGAUUUAUUGGGUUUAAAGGGUGCGUAGGCGGGAUGCCAAGUCAGCGGUAAAAAUGCGGUGCUCAACCCCGUCGAGCCGUUGAAACUG
RNAcentral lists this ribosomal RNA (305 nucleotides) under uncultured bacterium. Its description in RNAcentral is "bacterial SSU rRNA". It matches the Rfam family "Bacterial small subunit ribosomal RNA", at positions 333 to 635 of the family's 1533-position model. The record is from RNAcentral.